Molecule: ribosomal RNA, 253 nt
Filed under: uncultured bacterium
Lineage: Bacteria
Description: partial 16S ribosomal RNA
Rfam family: Bacterial small subunit ribosomal RNA
Source: RNAcentral
UACGUAGGAGACGAGCGUUGUCCGGAGUUACUGGGCGUAAAGGGUGCGCAGGUGGCGGCGCGCGUGGGGGGUGAAAUCGCCCGGCUUAACUGGGCGGGGGCCUUCCAGACGGCGUGGCUUGAGCAGCGGAGGGGGACGUGGAAUUCCGGGUGGAGCGGUGAAAUGCGUAGAGAUCCGGAGGAACCCCAGAGGCGAAGGCGGCAGCCUGGUUGGCUCCUGACGCUCGGACACGACAGCAUGGGGAGCGAACGGG